Molecule: small nucleolar RNA, 122 nt
Organism: Gorilla gorilla gorilla (western lowland gorilla)
Lineage: Eukaryota; Metazoa; Chordata; Mammalia; Primates; Hominidae
Source: Ensembl
GUGUCCUUUUAAGGUUGACACAGUGCUUAAAGAGCCUAACACAGAAAGGUAAGGUAAGUUUCCAUAAAACCCAGAAAUGAUAUUGCAAAAUUCCUCUUUGAAUCAUGUCUGGAGUCACAGCU